GAUGAACGCUAGCGGCAGGCCUAAUACAUGCAAGUCGAACGGUAAGGCCCUUUCGGGGGUACACGAGUGGCGGACGGGUGCGUAACGCGUAUGCAACAUGCCUUCCAGCGGGGGAUAUACCAGGGAAACUUGGCGCAAUACCCCAUAGAAUUACGGGACCGCAUGGUCUUGUGAUUAAAAACUCCGGUGCUGGGAGAUUGGCAUGCGUGACAUUAGCUAGUUGGCGGGGUAACGGCCCACCAAGGCGACGAUGUCUAGCUGGUCUGAGAGGAUGAUCAGCCACACUGGGACUGAGACACGGCCCAGACUCCUACGGGAGGCAGCAGUAGGGAAUUUUGGACAAUGGCGCAAGCCUGAUCCAGCCAUGCCGCGUGCGGGACG
Molecule: ribosomal RNA, 381 nt
Filed under: uncultured bacterium
Lineage: Bacteria
Description: bacterial SSU rRNA
Rfam family: Bacterial small subunit ribosomal RNA
Source: RNAcentral